RNAcentral lists this ribosomal RNA (489 nucleotides) under uncultured bacterium. RNAcentral describes it as "partial 16S ribosomal RNA". It matches the Rfam family "Bacterial small subunit ribosomal RNA", at positions 29 to 507 of the family's 1533-position model. The record is from RNAcentral.
GUGAACGCUGGCGGCAGGCCUAAUACAUGCAAGUCGAACGGCAGCACAGUGGAGCUUGCUCCAUGGGUGGCGAGUGGCGGCCGGGUGAGGAAUACAUGGGAAUCUGCCCAGUCGUGGGGGAUAACGUAGGGAAACUUACGCUAAUACCGCAUGCGCCCUUCGGGGGAAAGCCGGGGACCUUCGGGCCUGGCGCGAUUGGAUGAGCCCAUGUUCGAUUAGCUAGUUGGCGGGGUAAAGGCCCACCAAGGCGACGAUCGAUAGCUGGUCUGAGAGGAUGAUCAGCCACACUGGGACUGAGACACGGCCCAGACUCCUACGGGAGGUAGCAGUAGGGAAUAUUGGACAAUGGGCGCAAGCCUGAUCCAGCCAUGCCGCGUGAGUGAAGAAGGCCCUCGGGUUGUAAAGCUCUUUUGUCCGGGAAGAAAAGCAUCGGGCUAAUACCUCGGUGUUCUGACGGUACCGGAAGAAUAAGCACCGGCUAACUUCGUG